Molecule: long non-coding RNA, 762 nt
Filed under: Marmota monax (woodchuck)
Lineage: Eukaryota; Metazoa; Chordata; Mammalia; Rodentia; Sciuridae
Source: RNAcentral
GCGGGUACUUGCUGUGAGUGUGCGUGCAUGCGUGGUGCGGGGAGGAGAUGGAAAAGACAUGGGUCGAUCCUGUUAUUCAGCUGAGUGCCCUAGGCAAGUUACUUAAACUCUCUGAGCAUGGCCUCGUUUGAUUCUUCUGAAGGAAGAGUAACGGAGGGGUUGUGGCUGUGGCUCAGUGGUAGAGCGCUCGCCCAGGAUGCGUGAGACACUGGGUUCCAUCCGCAGCCCCGCAUAAAAAUAAACAAAUAAGAUAAAGUCAUUCUGCCCAACUAAAAAAAAAAAAUUAACCGAGAUAAAGUGUGUGAAGCGUCACUCUGGAAUAUCUUGUGCCUCCCUUAUGUCUCCCCUUAGAUGUCCUCCAAAGGCCUCUUUUCUCUCAUUUAUCUUCCUCCCUCUACCACUUUUUUGUCUGUCCUGCUCUAGGUCUCUCUGUCUACUGUGCUAGCACCCUCAUGGCACACUCAAGGGGAGUCAGCAACUGGCGCUUCCUGCGGCUGUGGCCUCCGGGAAGAGGCAAGUUGGGAAGGGGAAGGACAGCAAAGGCAGCAAACUGAUGGCAUGAGGAGCCUUUCUUCCGUGCAAGAUGUGGAACUGGAAAGAUGAUGGGAGGAGAAUGGAUCUCUGCGGCUAGCAGGUGCCAGGCCCGAGGUGCUGCUGGCCACUCAAGCCACACCUGGCAGAGCUGGCCUGGGGUUGGGGGAGCUGGGAUGCCUCUCCCCACAGGACCUGCUACACCCUGCAGGGCCCUGUGCAAAAUAAAAU